RNAcentral lists this microRNA (24 nucleotides) under Strongyloides ratti. Its description in RNAcentral is "str-miR-360-5p". Its record names the gene str-miR-360-5p. The record is from miRBase by way of RNAcentral. Lineage: Eukaryota; Metazoa; Nematoda; Chromadorea; Rhabditida; Strongyloididae.
UUGUGACCGUUGUAACGGCUAUUC